This is a long non-coding RNA of Anas platyrhynchos (mallard), 3543 nucleotides long. RefSeq lists it as uncharacterized. NCBI's taxonomy places the organism in Eukaryota, Metazoa, Chordata, Aves, Anseriformes, Anatidae. The record is from RefSeq and is a predicted model, not a curated record.
UAACCACAGCUUGGAGCACGGGAACAACCACCAGGACGUGUGAAAGCACCGUGCUGGUGAGGCUCAGCGGCUGCCCACACCCCUAAUGGAAACCGAUUGCAGCUGAGCAGCAAGCAGUAAUGAUGUAAUGGUCUCUGGCAUUUCACCCUGAUAAUGUCACGGUCUUUAUAGCCUCUUUAAUACAUUUCAUUGCCUGACGCCGUUUGGUACCUGACUUUUGUAAAAUCAAUGAGUGAAAAUAAAAUCCUUUUACAGAUCAGGAUUCUUCCUGCGGAGAAGGGAACACCCAGAUGCAGGCAGGGAGGUCAUGGGGGAGUUUAUGAAAGGCAACGAAGCACGUGGGGCUUGUGGAGAGUGCGGUGCAUUCUUGGGGUGAAAACGGGGAUUUUGUGACCAGCAGGACACUGCGGAAGGGCCGGUGCCUGGCUGCGUCACGCUGGCUCUGCACAUCCCGCUGCUGGGAGCCUCACCAGGUGCUCAGCACGUGGAAGAGCCAAGCACGAGCCGCAGCUGUGUCAGAUGCCACAGGUACAAUGUGGCCACAUCCCUGCUCUGUGCCUCGGCUCCUUUCUGCCAGGAAGAGAGUGCAACUCCCGCCUUGUUCCCUUCGCUGUGCGAGCAUCUUCAGGCAGGGAUGCUGCGCCGCUCGCUUGCCAGUGAGGGUUCCUGACCCCGCUCGGAACUGGAGCCAGGUAGCCUGGUGGCAAUUCCUCACCUCCCCAGGCACGUGGGCUUGUUUUUAACGCGCAGGGAGCAGCGCUGGGCGCAGGACACUCGCGUCGUGCAUGAGACUCGGACCAGGAUCCGACCAGCAGCUCUCCUGGCCACCCCGUGCCUGGAAAGCCAGGCCCAGAGGGACACAUUGGGAGAAGCGAGGAGCUCCAAGGAUGUGGUGCGAAGCUCCGCGUGGCCCCUGCGUGCUGGGCUCAGCCAGGGCGGCCGCGGCUCCGGUUGGGGCAGGCGCUCACGUCGGCUGCAAGAAAUGAACGUCAGCCGCGUUGUGAGGAUGCGUGGUUUUAUUUUUCAGCUUCCCCUUUGUAGCUGUUCCCAAUCUGGUAACAAAGACUUUAACCCUUCGCUCAGGCGCAACGAAACCGUUCUUUUCCUUUUAAGCCUGUUUGGUGUUGACAGCGGGUUUGGCUGCAGCUGGCAGAAACGGGGCACAUCUCUGUCACAAGAGCUGAACGCAGUAAUGUGCAGAAAUUGGUGGUAUGGAGAAAGCCUUGGGGAGGCUAUAACUCGAGGCAAGUUUGGGGUCCUUAGGACAGGGGAAUAUUUCCAUUACACCGCAAGCCACAAAAGCAGCCCGAGGGGCUUGGUGGGGGUCGGAAGCAAAGCAAAGACUGCCGUUACAGCGAGCUUUACAGGUUUAUUCAUUUUUAAUUCUUUCGACCUAGAAAAUGCAAACAGCAUCUUGUAGCCCCAGACGGCAACAGGAGAGCCACGGGGCUGCGUGCCCGAGGCACUGCCACACUCCUGGCCACAGAAAGACCUGCUGCCUGGGACCACGAGGCAGCCACCUGAGCCACCUUCUCCCCAAACUGCGUUCCCAUGGGAGACCCAGACUCUUGCCCUCUGCGACCAACCAGGGCUGAGGCACAAAGAGUGGAGGACGGCUCCCAGGCACCCCGCAAAGUGGUUUUGGGAUGUGCAAUGGGUUCCCCGGGUGGGGUGUGUGUCUGGGAUGCUUGGGUGGGAUGAGUGGGAAGGGUGCCACAUGGGAUGCGCAGCGAGAUGCUCUCCAGAGCCUCCCUGGCUUGCAAACGGAAGGGAAGAGCUGCGGGCAGGAAGCUCCCAGGUGUCUGCAAUGGCACCAGCAGGGACCUGAGGACAAGGGAUAAUGGCAGCACAGAGCCACCAGUGCCAUCCUUCAUGCUGCCCCAGGACGGGUGACACGGAGGUGCCAGCGGGGAACCAGGGGAUGGCAGCCGGGCAGCUGGGUGCUGUGCGUGUGAGCUCUGACCACGCAGGUCUUUUAUCUUCCUGCUCCCGGUGUCUUUAUUGAGCAGGGCAUAACUUUCCGGCCAUGUAUUCCUGCAGCCAAAAAAAUAACUCCGUGCUCUUUAAGGAGGUAAAUUUUCUUUAGAUCUCACCCUUCAACGAGUGUGCUACAGCGGUGUCUCACGGGGGAACUUGCCAGAGUCCAUCCACGUAAAUAAAACUAUUGAAGACGGUAGGAGGGAUUUUUGUGUGUGCGUCUUACUACAGAACUCAAAUCCAGGAAAGCUUUUAACAGCAACAAAGGAAACGAGCAGCCUGCACAAUGCUUCCCUGCCCGAGCGGCUCAGGCUCACCCGCGCUCUCUCCAGGAACCGCUCCGCCUCGCCAGGUGAGCGCUGCCCCACUUCAAGCCGCCCCAAGCGAGCUCUUUCUGAGCAGAAAGACAGAGGCGAUGGGGCACCGGGGAGCUCUAUUUCGAGAUCAAAGCAGGCGUGAUGGAACAGGGCCCGGCGCCAGCGAUUUCAGGCUGGAAGCGCCCGUCUGUGCGCGCAGGGCUCCCGCUGAGCCCCCACUCCCAGCGCCGUCUGCUGCCUGCCCAUGCCCAUGGGGCCCCCCCAGCUCAUGCCGUGGCUGUUUCGGCUGCCACCCUGGCUUUUCGGGGCGAGCAGCAGGAGGGUGUUUGUGGGGUGCCACCGGACGAGGCUGCGGACACAGCCCCCUGCUUGGCCGGGGGUGGGCACUGGGAAGCCCUGCAGCAGGGUGCACGUGGAGGUGGCAGGCAGGGGGCAAGCAGAGGGUGCGAGCAGGCAGCAGCAAACGUGGUGGCUGGAAUACUUGUAGCAAUAAGGAGAAAAUAAAAAUAAUACGUGGUAACAUCCCCCCGCAUGGCAUCGCAUGGCUCCCACAGCAGUGAGCACUGGGGGACAGGGGGCUGGCACCUCGAGGGAGCGUGGGUGAAACCAUUGCUUUGCCUCCCCAAGCGACACCGGAACCAUGAACUCUGGAUACGCAAUGCCCUGAAGCAACCAUCGGGCUUGCAAAAAAAACCUGCUGAGGCUGAGGCUCCUGCUAAACUCAUCACCCACUGCAGAGCGGGGCUGGCCUCUCUAAAAUCGCUUGGGGAAGAGGAGCCACGGCCGAGCUGCCCCUGAACGGCCCAAACCGUGCGGGCACCUGAACCUGGCCCCAAUACCGGGACACCAAGUCCCGACAUCCCCCCAGGGGUCUCUGGAGCAUGCAUGCUGUGCCAUGCAGGACACGGACAGGCUUCCUCCAGGUUUAAUUUCAGGGAUGGACUGAGAGCUGAGGGGGGUCAGAGGCCCCCCGCUCCCUCCCGCUUGCCCCUGCUCGCAGCUCCUGGCCCCGUUCCCUGCCUCCUGCUGCGCACGGACAGCCUCCAGCUGCCGGGCGGACAGAGCGCGGCUGCUCUCUGUAGCUCUUGGCACGUCGGUCUGUCGGGCAGGAGCCGGGAGGAGGGCUGGGUUUGGGAGGCCCCUCCGGGUGCGGGGCUGCCUGGGGGCACGGUGGCGGGGAGCCCCAGGAGCUGGAACCCCCCCGCUGCCUCUCCUGCUUGUUCUUAAAGAGCUCCAAGCCCCGUGCGAA